GACGAACGCUGGCGGCGUGCUUAACACAUGCAAGUCGAACGGAAAGACCCUGCUUUUGUGGGGUGCUCGAGUGGCGAACGGGUGAGUAACACGUGAGUAACCUGCCCUUGACUUUGGGAUAACUUCAGGAAACUGGGGCUAAUACCGGAUAGGAGCUCCUGCUGCAUGGUGGAGGUUGGAAAGUUUCGGCGGUUGGGGAUGGACUCGCGGCUUAUCAGCUUGUUGGUGGGGUAGUGGCUUACCAAGGCUUUGACGGGUAGCCGGCCUGAGAGGGUGACCGGCCACAUUGGGACUGAGAUACGGCCCAGACUCCUACGGGAGGCAGCAGUGGGGAAUAUUGCACAAUGGGCGGAAGCCUGAUGCAGCAACGCCGCGUGCGGGAUGACGGCCUUCGGGUUGUAAACCGCUUUCGCCUGUGACGAAGCGUGAGUGACGGUAAUGGGUAAAGAAGCACCGGCUAACUACGUG
RNAcentral lists this ribosomal RNA (468 nucleotides) under uncultured bacterium. RNAcentral describes it as "partial 16S ribosomal RNA". It matches the Rfam family "Bacterial small subunit ribosomal RNA", at positions 28 to 507 of the family's 1533-position model. The record is from RNAcentral.